CGAUGUCUUGCCUACUCUUGGCUAUGGCAAUGGACUCAUGGCCGUCAUAUCGCCUGAACGAGUCUGGACAAGAUCGAUACUAGCCUAGUUACGAUCGCAUUGUGGUCCCAUUCAGCAGUACUUUAGUGCCAGGCAUUGUUGUUUGGCGCAGUCUUGGUUGCAACCUUUGAUGGUAUCGGUUUGCAGUUUGCAGCUCUGCUUCAGCUUGCUAAACGAACUACUAGUACAUGACAUUGUACUUCUUUCUGUACCAACAAAAAUAAGAAACGUAUUUCUGUUCUAUUGGCCAACACCCGUUCGACGUAAUGGCUGAGUUGUCCAUGCACAAGUGCCUGAAAUCCCUGUCACACGACGACGAAACGAGCGGAGAACUAAUCGGGCGCGAGAGACUGCUGGUGCAGGGUUUAGCACCUCGCACCGGACUGCAGAAUAUCUUCGGUGGCAACUGGUAGACCCUCUACUACUCACCCGCUCCAUGGUCGUCUAGAUACGUCACGUACUGCUACAUUGACACGCCAGUGAUUGCUGAACAGCUGGCAAGCAAGUACGAGGCGAUCCUGGAAAGUCACCCGGUUCGUGUUGACGGCGACAGAAUGGCACAUCUGAUAUACCAUGGUGAACACGACCACAGUUCCCUGGAUGGUGAAGUCGAUGUGGCGCUAAUGCUCGACACUUCAAAGGACGGUACGAAGUAUCUUCAACUUGUUCUCAUACCAGAAGAGCUGCUCACAGUGAUGCAAGCAAAGGAAAGGGAGAACGAGAAGGUGAGCAGCGCCCGCCAAAGCAAAUUGCUUGACAAGAGCCUGGCAACUCAACCCUACUACUGAAGUAUGACUACAUGCCAUCUCUCACGGUGAUCAAAAGCCUGCAAAGCCAGAAAGUUGCUGCCUCGUUAUUGAGCACCUCUGCUUGUGAGUGACAGCGAAUUCUAAUAAAACAAACAAACAAACACGAGUAGUAUCACAGAACACGUCAUAAUCUUUGCACCCAAUAACAUAGAAUGGUACUCAUCAAUUCCCUGAAAUACUUAUUGAUUUUUCCUUCAUGAAUUUAUCAGUUUACAUGCUAUUUUCAAUGGAAACUCUCUCUCUCUCUCUCUCUCUCUAUCUAUCUAUCUAUCUAUCUAUCUAUCUAUCUAUCAAGUAUCUAUCUAACUAGAUAUCUAUCUCUCUAUCUCUCCCUCUGUCUCUCUCUCUCUCUCACACACACACACGCACGCACGCACACACACACGUCUCCCUUAUUAUAAUGGAUCUGGCAAUGGGCACGCUUAAAGUGCUGCAAUGACCUACAACAUUGGCCCUGAUGGUGAGAACACCAAAUCACAUUGGCCUUGAUGGUGACAACACCACAUCACUGCAGGGCCAUUCACCGGUUUUGCUGCCCAUGACCAGGGUCCAUUUUACCAAACAAAAUUUCAUGAAUCCCGAUAUCUCACUAACUGUUACUGCUGUAUGCCAUACUCUUCAAGUAUGUGUUAUCUGGAGUGUGCUGUCGAAUCAUUUGCCAUAGUAGUUACUCAUCAUAUCAGUUGAAUAUUUCUUACCACACCAGUGCACCUUCAUCAUCACAUGACUUGACAUAUAUUCGCUAUUCACACAGGAUUUCUGGAAAUCAUUAUAGCUUUGACUAGAAUGCCGGG
Sycon ciliatum is the source of this 1642-nucleotide long non-coding RNA. RefSeq lists it as uncharacterized. The transcript has 2 exons. The record is from RefSeq and is a predicted model, not a curated record. NCBI's taxonomy places the organism in Eukaryota, Metazoa, Porifera, Calcarea, Leucosolenida, Sycettidae.